CAAUAGCGUAUAUUAAAGUUGUUGCAGUUAAAAAGCUCGUAGUUGGAUUUGUGGCGUACGGUGUGUUCCGGGCACUUGUUGUCUGAGUAACCUGCUGUUGCCAUCCUUGGGUGGAACCUGUGUGGCAUUAGGUUGUCGUGCAGGGGAUGCCCAUCAUUUACUGUGAAAAAAUUAGAGUGUUCAAAGCAGGCUUAUGCCGUUGAAUAUAUUAGCAUGGAAUAAUGAGAUAGGACUUUUUUGCUAUUUUGUUGGUUUGUGCAAGAAGGUAAUGAUUAAUAGGGACAGUUGGGGGUAUUCGUAUUCCAUUGUCAGAGGUGAAAUUCUUGGAUUUUUGGAAGACGAACUACUGCGAAAGCAUUUACCAAGGAUGUUUUCAUUAA
Molecule: ribosomal RNA, 380 nt
Filed under: uncultured eukaryote
Lineage: Eukaryota
Description: partial 18S ribosomal RNA
Rfam family: Eukaryotic small subunit ribosomal RNA
Source: RNAcentral